Molecule: ribosomal RNA, 483 nt
Filed under: uncultured bacterium
Lineage: Bacteria
Description: partial 16S ribosomal RNA
Rfam family: Bacterial small subunit ribosomal RNA
Source: RNAcentral
AUUGAACGCUGGCGGCAGGCCUAACACAUGCAAGUCGAGCGGAUGAGUGGAGCUUGCUCCAUGAUUCAGCGGCGGACGGGUGAGUAAUGCCUAGGAAUCUGCCUGGUAGUGGGGGACAACGUUUCGAAAGGAACGCUAAUACCGCAUACGUCCUACGGGAGAAAGUGGGGGAUCUUCGGACCUCACGCUAUCAGAUGAGCCUAGGUCGGAUUAGCUAGUUGGUGAGGUAAAGGCUCACCAAGGCGACGAUCCGUAACUGGUCUGAGAGGAUGAUCAGUCACACUGGAACUGAGAAACGGUCCAGACUCCUACGGGAGGCAGCAGUGGGGAAUAUUGGACAAUGGGCGAAAGCCUGAUCCAGCCAUGCCGCGUGUGUGAAGAAGGUCUUCGGAUUGUAAAGCACUUUAAGUUGGGAGGAAGGGCAGUAAGUUAAUACCUUGCUGUUUUGACGUUCCAACAGAAUAAGCACCGGCUAACUUCGUG